This 402-nucleotide ribosomal RNA is filed under the name Rhizobium sp. Nfb1M. RNAcentral's name for it is "bacterial SSU rRNA". It matches the Rfam family "Bacterial small subunit ribosomal RNA", at positions 988 to 1386 of the family's 1533-position model. The record is from RNAcentral. Lineage: Bacteria; Pseudomonadati; Pseudomonadota; Alphaproteobacteria; Hyphomicrobiales; Rhizobiaceae.
GCCUCGAUUCGCUGCAGUACAUGCAGUUUACCUUCGGGGACGUGGACACACGUGCUGCUUAGGCUGUCGUCAGCUCGUGUCGUGAGAUGUUGGGUUAAAGUCCCGCAACGAGCGCCAACCCUCGCCCGUUAGUUGCCAGCAUUCAGUUGGGCACUCUAAGGGGACUGCCGGUGAUAAGCCGAGAGGAAGGUGGGGAUGACGUCAAGUCCUCAUGGCCCUUACGGGCUGGGCUACACACGUGCUACAAUGGUGGUGACAGUGGGCAGCGAAGGAGCGAUCCCGAGCUAAUCUCCAAAAGCCAUCUCAGUUCGGAUUGCACUCUGCAACUCGAGUGCAUGAAGUUGGAAUCGCUAGUAAUCGCGGAUCAGCACGCCGCGGUGAAUACGUUCCCGGGUCUUGUAC